CCCUUAGAUGUUCUGGGCCGCACGCGCGCUACACUGAUGCAUUCAACGAGCCUAUCCUUGACCGACAGGUCCGGGUAAUCUUUGAAUCUGCAUCGUGACGGGGAUAGAUUAUUGCAAUUCUUCAUCUUCAACGAGGAAUGCCUAGUAAACGCAAGUCAUCAGCUUGCAUUGAUUACGUCCCUGCCCUUUGUACACACCGCCCGUCGCUCCUACCGAUUGAAUGAUCCGAUGAAUACCAUGGAUUGAGAGUACGAAUGGGUUCGCUCAUUUCUGCUGCUCGAGAAGUGGAGUAAAUCUUAUCAUUUAGAGGAAGGAGAAGUCGUAACA
RNAcentral lists this ribosomal RNA (327 nucleotides) under uncultured eukaryote. Its description in RNAcentral is "partial 18S ribosomal RNA". It matches the Rfam family "Eukaryotic small subunit ribosomal RNA", at positions 1470 to 1796 of the family's 1831-position model. The record is from RNAcentral.